ACGGGUGAGUAACGCGUGGGAAUCUACCGUACCCUACGGAAUAGCUCCGGGAAACUGGAAGUAAUACCGUAUACGCCCUUUUGGGGAAAGAUUUAUCGGGGUAUGAUGAGCCCGCGUUGGAUUAGCUAGUUGGUGGGGUAAAGGCCUACCAAGGCGACGAUCCAUAGCUGGUCUGAGAGGAUGAUCAGCCACAUUGGGACUGAGACACGGCCCAAACUCCUACGGGAGGCAGCAGUGGGGAAUAUUGGACAAUGGGCGCAAGCCUGAUCCAGCCAUGCCGCGUGAGUGAUGAAGGUCUUAGGAUUGUAAAGCUCUUUCACCGAUGAAGAUAAUGACGGUAGUCGGAGAAGAAGCCCCGGCAAACUUCGUGCCAGCAGCCGCGGUAACACGAAGGGGGCUAGCGUUGUUCGGAAUUACUGGGCGUAAAGCGCACGUAGGCGGAUAAUUAAGUCAGGGGUGAAAUCCCGCAGCUCAACUGCGGAACUGCCUUUGAUACUGGUUAUCUUGAGUAUGGAAGAGGUAAGUGGAAUUGCGAGUGUAGAGGUGAAAUUCGUAGA
This 557-nucleotide ribosomal RNA is filed under the name uncultured bacterium. RNAcentral describes it as "bacterial SSU rRNA". It matches the Rfam family "Bacterial small subunit ribosomal RNA", at positions 102 to 694 of the family's 1533-position model. The record is from RNAcentral.